CCCCAGUAGCAUUCAAUUAAUAAGUAGUUCUAUACUUUUUGCUUAAAAGGGAACGGCGCUGAUCUCUAUGAACUCUAUGAUGUAAUUUAUUUAUCUUCCUUUAAAUCUCUUCUCCAAGUUUCUCGGGUUUCCUCAUUUAGUAACUGGGCAAAACUACCUUGUCACCAGAAAGAAAAAGCUUUGAAAAGAUUUUCUAUUAAGCAAUCGGUUGACUUUGUUUUCCAGUCAUUGUAGAGAAGUUGUCGUGGAGAAUAUCAAAACAUCAAUCCCAGUAACGUGGAGUGUCAGAAAGAUCUUCAGUAUUACACCAAGUGUAUUUCAGGAAUUGAAACAACGCAUAUUCUGGAACCAUUAUGCAGUUUUGCAUCCCCAAAGCCACAAGAAAUGUAUGCUAGAAGACGGUAUCUUGAUGAACACCAGAAAGAGCUCCUUGAUCCUGAACCACCAAUACUUCCUAAAAUUGGCUGUCGGAUAAUUCCAUAUUCUCCCCUCAGAAAUGCAAAUUAUACUUAUUCCUUUUUGCUUUCUUCUUAUUGGGCUAAUGCUGGCAAUGUCCAGAAAGCAAUCCACAUAAGAAAGGGGAGUAUAGGACAAUGGAAGCGGUGUGAUUUUGGAUUACCUUACACAGCUGAUCUUCCGAGCAGUUUUCUGUAUCAUGUAAACCUUAGUACCAGAGGUUAUCGUGCUUUAGUUUACAGCGGUGACCAUGACAUGCUGGUGCCUUUCUUGGGAACUGAAGCAUGGAUAAAAUCUCUCAACUAUCCCAUUGUUGAUGAUUGGCGGCCAUGGAUGGUGCAAGACCAAGUUGCAGGAUACACGAGGACCUACUCCAAUCAAAUGACAUAUGCCACUAUUAAGAGAGGAGGGCACACAGCUCCCGAGUACAAGCCCGCAGAAUGUUUUGCUAUGUUUAAAAGGUGGAUAUCUCGAGAGCCUUUGUAACAGAGUCAGCUCAUCAUGCUUCCAAAUUCAAAGCACUGAUGUGAACUAUGUUUUACCAUCUGAUGUGAACAAUGUUUUACCAUGCAUACUUCUCUGUCAUCUCUUCUCUUUACUUCUGCUAUCUGAUAAACUUACACAAUCCUCCACUUGAGAGCUUCUGAAUGGCAAGGUCAGAUAAAAUUGCAGUUCUCUUUUUCUUCUUUCUU
This is a non-coding RNA of Theobroma cacao (cacao), 1148 nucleotides long. The record is from RefSeq and is a predicted model, not a curated record. NCBI's taxonomy places the organism in Eukaryota, Viridiplantae, Streptophyta, Magnoliopsida, Malvales, Malvaceae.